ACAAAUGAAGAACCGGCAUAGCAGGAAGGAAUAUCAAACUCAUUAAUGGGAUUUGAGGGUCACCAAUUGAAAUACUGCUUAAAUCAGCUGGAGGAUGAAGAGGGCGAAUUAUAAGAUGCAAGAAGACAUGCUGACAAGAGUCCUAUCUUCAUGAAAAUGGAUGAUUCUGUAGGUUUCUGAACACAUGGACAUUCAUCUUAUAUUUUCCUGAGGCUAUUGGCAAGUGACUCUGGCUGAAAAGUUUAAAACAAAGAUGAAAAAUUUGGAGUCUAGUGAAAAGAAGUGACUUGCUCAAAAUCACACAGCACAUGAAGAACAGAGCCUCUAUGAUGAAUUUCUUGACAGCUGAUAUAAGUCUUUUGAGGUACAGCCUGGCACAAAAAGGAUGAGAUUUGUGGGCAGAAUUUUGGAAGAAUAUCUCCCGAGAGAACAUUCAGGACAGAGCCCUACAUCUCCCCGAGAAGAGGUGAAAGAGACUGCUCCUAUCUGCUUCUGCAUCAAACUUCAGGCUCAAGACCUGUCCAGAAAAAAAAAUGUCUUCUUUCAGGGAUGAACUGCUGUCCUCAUCAGACGCCUUAUUUUGUUUAGAAUUCAAGCUCACUUGACAGUGGGCUGGACUUCCAGAAGAAACGUUGUCAGAACUCUGCCCAACUGAAAACAA
Molecule: long non-coding RNA, 661 nt
Filed under: Homo sapiens (human)
Lineage: Eukaryota; Metazoa; Chordata; Mammalia; Primates; Hominidae
Description: HSALNT0070085
Source: RNAcentral